GGGGCCUUAGCUCAGCUGGGAGAGCGCUACAAUGGCAUUGUAGAGGUCACCGGUUCGAUCCCGGUAGGCUCCACCA
This 76-nucleotide transfer RNA is filed under the name Sphingopyxis granuli. Its description in RNAcentral is "tRNA-Ala". It matches the Rfam family "tRNA". Rfam says of the family: Transfer RNA (tRNA) molecules are approximately 80 nucleotides in length. Their secondary structure includes four short double-helical elements and three loops (D, anti-codon, and T loops). Further hydrogen bonds mediate the characteristic L-shaped molecular structure. tRNAs have two regions of fundamental functional importance: the anti-codon, which is responsible for specific mRNA codon recognition, and the 3' end, to which the tRNAs corresponding amino acid is attached (by aminoacyl-tRNA synthetases). tRNAs cope with the degeneracy of the genetic code in two manners: having more than one tRNA (with a specific anti-codon) for a particular amino acid; and 'wobble' base-pairing, i.e. permitting non-standard base-pairing at the 3rd anti-codon position. RNAcentral also lists the same sequence under 11 other names. Lineage: Bacteria; Pseudomonadati; Pseudomonadota; Alphaproteobacteria; Sphingomonadales; Sphingopyxidaceae. The record is from RNAcentral.